Non-coding RNA from Schizosaccharomyces pombe (fission yeast), 420 nucleotides. NCBI's taxonomy places the organism in Eukaryota, Fungi, Ascomycota, Schizosaccharomycetes, Schizosaccharomycetales, Schizosaccharomycetaceae. The record is from the annotation of a GenBank genome assembly.
UUAGCAGACGUAUUUACACUUUUUGGUUUAUAAGAUUCAAUAUCUUGAAAAACAUCUUCAAGAGUAUUAUGAACUGUCGGAUCCUCAACAAGUUUAAAAGCCAAAGCAUCAACGUAAUGUGAUGUUAAGUAAGGUGAGCGCAACACGCUUUUAGAUUUUGGUUUAUAAGGAGGUAUUAUUAUAAGAUUAGAGCUAUUUACAACUCCUCUAUUAGAAUCAGCGUGAAUACUCCUUAUAUUUAGCAACCCCCAUGAAGUCAGCUUUUGAGCCAAGCACCUGCAGUUUAAGGCGUUGAUAUUACGAUUCAAUAAUGAUCCUUUUACCAUUUGUUUACAUGGGGUUAGUAAAUUUAUAAAGAGAUAAUCUCUUAGGAGCAAUGAUGAGUCACCUUGGUGAUUGAAAAAAACACGGUGGUACCCG